Molecule: ribosomal RNA, 429 nt
Filed under: Bacteroidota bacterium
Lineage: Bacteria; Pseudomonadati; Bacteroidota
Description: Bacteroidetes bacterium partial 16S ribosomal RNA
Rfam family: Bacterial small subunit ribosomal RNA
Source: RNAcentral
UAGGGAAUCUUCGGCAAUGGGGGGAACCCUGACCGAGCAACGCCGCGUGAGUGAAGAAGGUUUUCGGAUCGUAAAGCUCUGUUGUUAAGGAAGAACGAGUGUGAGAAUGGAAAGUUCAUACUGUGACGGUACUUAACCAGAAAGGGACGGCUAACUACGUGCCAGCAGCCGCGGUAAUACGUAGGUCCCGAGCGUUGUCCGGAUUUAUUGGGCGUAAAGCGAGCGCAGGCGGUUAGAUAAGUCUGAAGUUAAAGGCAGUGGCUCAACCAUUGUAGGCUUUGGAAACUGUUUAACUUGAGUGCAGAAGGGGAGAGUGGAAUUCCAUGUGUAGCGGUGAAAUGCGUAGAUAUAUGGAGGAACACCGGUGGCGAAAGCGGCUCUCUGGUCUGUAACUGACGCUGAGGCUCGAAAGCGAGGGGAGCGAACAGG